GAUUAAGUUAUUAAGGGCGCACGGUGGAUGCCUUGGCACUAGAAGCCGAUGAAGGACGUUACUAACGACGAUAUGCUUUGGGGAGCUGUAAGUAAGCUUUGAUCCAGAGAUUUCCGAAUGGGGAAACCCAGCAUGAGUUAUGUCAUGUUAUCGAUAUGUGAAUACAUAGCAUAUCAGAAGGCACACCCGGAGAACUGAAACAUCUUAGUACCCGGAGGAAGAGAAAGAAAAUUCGAUUCCCUUAGUAGCGGCGAGCGAAACGGGAAGAGCCCAAACCAACAAGCUUGCUUGUUGGGGUUGUAGGACACUCUAUACGGAGUUACAAAGGACGACAUUAGACGAAUCAUCUGGAAGAUGAAUCAAAGAAGGUAAUAAUCCUGUAGUCGAAAAUGUUGUCUCUCUUGAGUGGAUCCUGAGUACGACGGAGCACGUGAAAUUCCGUCGGAAUCUGGGAGGACCAUCUCCUAAGGCUAAAUACUCUCUAGUGACCGAUAGUGAACCAGUACCGUGAGGGAAAGGUGAAAAGCACCCCGGAAGGGGAGUGAAAUAGAACCUGGAACCGUGUGCUUACAAGUAGUCAGAGCCCGUUAAUGGGUGAUGGCGUGCCUUUGUAGAAUGAACCGGCGAGUUACGAUUUGAUGCAAGGUUAAGCAGUAAAUGUGGAGCCGUAGCGAAAGCGAGUCUGAAUAGGGCGUUUAGUAUUUGGUCGUAGACCCGAAACCAGGUGAUCUACCCUUGGUCAGGUUGAAGUUCAGGUAACACUGAAUGGAGGACCGAACCGACUUACGUUGAAAAGUGAGCGGAUGAACUGAGGGUAGCGGAGAAAUUCCAAUCGAACCUGGAGAUAGCUGGUUCUCUCCGAAAUAGCUUUAGGGCUAGCCUCAAGUGAUGAUUAUUGGAGGUAGAGCACUGUUUGGACGAGGGGCCCCUCUCGGGUUACCGAAUUCAGACAAACUCCGAAUGCCAAUUAAUUUAACUUGGGAGUCAGAACAUGGGUGAUAAGGUCCGUGUUCGAAAGGGAAACAGCCCAGACCACCAGCUAAGGUCCCAAAAUAUAUGUUAAGUGGAAAAGGAUGUGGCGUUGCCCAGACAACUAGGAUGUUGGCUUAGAAGCAGCCAUCAUUUAAAGAGUGCGUAAUAGCUCACUAGUCGAGUGACACUGCGCCGAAAAUGUACCGGGGCUAAACAUAUUACCGAAGCUGUGGAUUGUCCUUUGGACAAUGGUAGGAGAGCGUUCUAAGGGCGUUGAAGCAUGAUCGUAAGGACAUGUGGAGCGCUUAGAAGUGAGAAUGCCGGUGUGAGUAGCGAAAGACGGGUGAGAAUCCCGUCCACCGAUUGACUAAGGUUUCCAGAGGAAGGCUCGUCCGCUCUGGGUUAGUCGGGUCCUAAGCUGAGGCCGACAGGCGUAGGCGAUGGAUAACAGGUUGAUAUUCCUGUACCACCUAUAAUCGUUUUAAUCGAUGGGGGGACGCAGUAGGAUAGGCGAAGCGUGCGAUUGGAUUGCACGUCUAAGCAGUAAGGCUGAGUAUUAGGCAAAUCCGGUACUCGUUAAGGCUGAGCUGUGAUGGGGAGAAGACAUUGUGUCUUCGAGUCGUUGAUUUCACACUGCCGAGAAAAGCCUCUAGAUAGAAAAUAGGUGCCCGUACCGCAAACCGACACAGGUAGUCAAGAUGAGAAUUCUAAGGUGAGCGAGCGAACUCUCGUUAAGGAACUCGGCAAAAUGACCCCGUAACUUCGGGAGAAGGGGUGCUCUUUAGGGUUAACGCCCAGAAGAGCCGCAGUGAAUAGGCCCAAGCGACUGUUUAUCAAAAACACAGGUCUCUGCUAAACCGUAAGGUGAUGUAUAGGGGCUGACGCCUGCCCGGUGCUGGAAGGUUAAGAGGAGUGGUUAGCUUCUGCGAAGCUACGAAUCGAAGCCCCAGUAAACGGCGGCCGUAACUAUAACGGUCCUAAGGUAGCGAAAUUCCUUGUCGGGUAAGUUCCGACCCGCACGAAAGGCGUAACGAUUUGGGCACUGUCUCAACGAGAGACUCGGUGAAAUCAUAGUACCUGUGAAGAUGCAGGUUACCCGCGACAGGACGGAAAGACCCCGUGGAGCUUUACUGUAGCCUGAUAUUGAAAUUCGGCACAGCUUGUACAGGAUAGGUAGGAGCCUUUGAAACGUGAGCGCUAGCUUACGUGGAGGCGCUGGUGGGAUACUACCCUAGCUGUGUUGGCUUUCUAACCCGCACCACUUAUCGUGGUGGGAGACAGUGUCAGGCGGGCAGUUUGACUGGGGCGGUCGCCUCCUAAAAGGUAACGGAGGCGCUCAAAGGUUCCCUCAGAAUGGUUGGAAAUCAUUCAUAGAGUGUAAAGGCAUAAGGGAGCUUGACUGCGAGACCUACAAGUCGAGCAGGGUCGAAAGACGGACUUAGUGAUCCGGUGGUUCCGCAUGGAAGGGCCAUCGCUCAACGGAUAAAAGCUACCCCGGGGAUAACAGGCUUAUCUCCCCCAAGAGUUCACAUCGACGGGGAGGUUUGGCACCUCGAUGUCGGCUCAUCGCAUCCUGGGGCUGUAGUCGGUCCCAAGGGUUGGGCUGUUCGCCCAUUAAAGCGGUACGCGAGCUGGGUUCAGAACGUCGUGAGACAGUUCGGUCCCUAUCCGUCGUGGGCGUAGGAAAUUUGAGAGGAGCUGUCCUUAGUACGAGAGGACCGGGAUGGACAUACCUCUGGUGUACCAGUUGUCGUGCCAACGGCAUAGCUGGGUAGCUAUGUGUGGACGGGAUAAGUGCUGAAAGCAUCUAAGCAUGAAGCCCCCCUCAAGAUGAGAUUUCCCAACUUCGGUUAUAAGAUCCCUCAAAGAUGAUGAGGUUAAUAGGUUCGAGGUGGAAGCAUGGUGACAUGUGGAGCUGACGAAUACUAAUCGAUCGAAGACUUAAUCAA
RNAcentral lists this ribosomal RNA (2921 nucleotides) under Staphylococcus aureus. RNAcentral's name for it is "23S ribosomal RNA". It matches the Rfam family "Bacterial large subunit ribosomal RNA". The record is from RNAcentral. Lineage: Bacteria; Bacillati; Bacillota; Bacilli; Caryophanales; Staphylococcaceae.